RNAcentral lists this ribosomal RNA (468 nucleotides) under uncultured bacterium. RNAcentral describes it as "partial 16S ribosomal RNA". It matches the Rfam family "Bacterial small subunit ribosomal RNA", at positions 28 to 507 of the family's 1533-position model. The record is from RNAcentral.
GACGAACGCUGGCGGCGUGCUUAACACAUGCAAGUCGAACGGAAAGGCCCUGCUUUUGUGGGGUGCUCGAGUGGCGAACGGGUGAGUAACACGUGAGUAACCUGCCCUUGACUUUGGGAUAACUUCAGGAAACUGGGGCUAAUACCGGAUAGGAGCUCCUGCUGCAUGGUGGGGGUUGGAAAGUUUCGGCGGUUGGGGAUGGACUCGCGGCUUAUCAGCUUGUUGGUGGGGUAGUGGCUUACCAAGGCUUUGCCGGGUAGCCGGCCUGAGCGGGUGACCGGCCAAAUUGGGACUGGAAUACGGCCCAGACUCGUACGGGAGGCAGCAGUGGGGAGUAGUGCACAAGGGGCGGAAGCCUGAUGCAGCAACGCCGCGUGCGGGAAGAGGGCCUUCGGGUUGUAAACCGCUGUCGCCUGUGACGAAGCGUGAGUGACGGUAAUGGGUAAAGAAGCACCGGCUAACUACGUG